CCAAGUUCCAUGGAAAUGCAUAAUCAUUUUUGAAAAGUUACUCUGCAAAAUUCCUUUACUGACUUAGGAGGACUGAUUCUCCUUUUUAAAAUUAAAGAUAUUGUACGUGAAGGAGUUCUACUUCAAACUGAAAUGGAGGCUGCUGGCUGUACACAUGGCGACCUAAAGGGAAUAAAACGGCGCUCCCUCUACUCCCCCCCUCUCAGAUAAAGCACAUUAUUUCCUUCUUAACUUCCUGCAAUAACAGUUUCUCGACAAUCUGAGUGUGCGGAUGUGUCUCGACCUUCCACCAGGUUUUUAGUUCUCCCAAUAGGGUGGGGAAGCCUUUUCUUUCGUUUCUCACUCAUUACCAGGCCUAGAUCUGGCUUCAGACGGGAAGGUCUGGCCCACCUAAAGGGGGACUGGAGGAGGCGGGAGAGGGGAAAUGAAGAGGCCACUUUCCGACCCCACACUUCCUCUCCACCUCCUACGGGACAAUAGCCCCGAGGCGCAGCUGUGGGGGGUGGGAGUGGGGGUGGGGUGGGGUCGGGGAGGAUGACCCAAGAGAGUGGGACCCUGGAGAUUUAGAGCCAGAGCUGGCAAGUGGCGAGGGGGAGGUGGGCUUCCGCGAAAAGCUUGCUGAGCGGAGCCAGACUCUGGCCUAGCAGCGGGCAGGGAACCCCGGGCCUCCCCGGGCGCCAUCACUGGGAGUGGGGGAGGAAAAAGAAACCUUUGGCAGGGCCCUCCCCCCCCCACGAAGCCCCCGCCCUGCCAACCAGACAAGCCCGGGAAGAGGUCGGGGUGUGUGGUCCGGGGUGGGUGGGCGGCAGGGGUCCCAGCGAGAAAGGGAAGAGAAGCAGCAGCAGCACCGCGGGCCCGGGCCUGCUGGGCCCGACUAGGCCCCUGGGCCUCGGGCCCGGCCCUUACCUUGUGGAUUCUCUUCAGAGCCAUUGUCAAGGACCGCAUCACCCGGCGGCGGCCCCCUUAUGCGCUGCUGCUGCUGCCUCCUCCACCACCGGCGCCGCCGCCGCCGCCGCCGCCACUGCCGCCGCCGCCGCCACCGCCUCCGCCGCCGCCGCUGCUGCUGCGCCGACGCCGCCUCCGCAGAUCCCUCCGCCAAGGAGGGAGAGAGUAGUCCGCGCCGCUCCCUCCGGCUCUGGGGGCCUUCUCGGCGGCGAGGUCGCUUCCUCGACAGGCAGCCAGAUAAUUUUCAGAUACACUGACAUCGACUGUCAAGCACCCGGGCUUGGCUCUCGCCUAUCAUUACAUCCGUUUUACAGAUGAGGAGUUUGAGGCCCAGAACAAGUGGAUGCCGUUGGCCUCACUGGGGAGCAAAGCUGGGACUAGAGCUGCUGCCUUCCCAAGAGUUUGAGUGCCUCGGAAAACUCCAUCCUCUCCACCAAAAGGUUAAAUGGCUCUAGGAGGAGCCCUGGGCAUCCUGAUGCCUAGGAGGAGCCUGGCUUGGGGUUCAGAGGUAUUUGCUAUGUAGGGUUUCUUCUUGAGAAGUACGUCUUGUUCUUUCCCCAGUCUCCAGAAGCUACUGCUGUGCGACUGGAAAACCCGUGCUGGGUGUGCUUUUUCUGAAACAGGACACGGCACAGAAGACCCCGAAACUGGGCUUUCCCAUCCUGCCAAAGAGCUUGGAGAGGUGUUGGCGGUCACUUUUCCACUAAUCCGUGUACACGCUGUGAAGCCCAGCAGCCGCCAAUAAAUUGUUAGUGAGGGGAACUUGCUACCA
Phascolarctos cinereus (koala) is the source of this 1717-nucleotide long non-coding RNA. Lineage: Eukaryota; Metazoa; Chordata; Mammalia; Diprotodontia; Phascolarctidae. The record is from Ensembl.